Molecule: ribosomal RNA, 1366 nt
Filed under: Latridiidae sp. 1 KM-2017
Lineage: Eukaryota; Metazoa; Arthropoda; Insecta; Coleoptera; Latridiidae
Description: 16S ribosomal RNA
Rfam family: Archaeal large subunit ribosomal RNA (bases 1076-1234)
Source: RNAcentral
UAAUUCAAUUUAACUUAAUUUUAUAAAAUUAUUUUUUUUAUAUAUUAAUUUUAUUAUUAAAAUAAAUAAAUUUAUUUUUAUUAUUUUUUAAGAAAAAAUUUUUUAAAUUAUAGUUUAUUAGUACUGUGAAGGAAAUUUGAAAUAAUUGAAAAAUUAAAAUAUUUAAAGAAAAAUUUAUUUUUUGUACCUUGUGCAUCAGGGUUUAUUAAUUAAAAUUUAAUUAAUUUAAAUUUCUCGAAUUUAAAAGAGCUAAUAUAAUAUAAAUUUUAUUGUAUCAUAAAUAUUUAAAAUAUUAUAUUAGUAAUGAAACGUUAAUCGUUUUUAAAUAUAUCUAGUUUUUAAAGAAAUAAAUUUAAUUUAUUAUUAUAAAUUAAUUUUGUAUAUUUUUAUAUUUAAAAUUAUUUAUAAUUAAAUUUUUAAAGGGAUUAGCUUUUAAAAAUAUUUUAUAUAAAUUUAUUUAUUUAUUAAUAAUAUGUAUUAUUAGAAUUUUAAAUCAUUAAAAAAAUGUUAUAAUUGAUUAUUAAUAUAAUAUUAUUUUUAUAAAUUUUAUAUUUUUUAUUUAAAUAUUAAUUUUAAUUUAAAAAAUUAAGUAAUAAUGAUAAAAUUAGUAUAUUUGUUUAUAUAAAUAAAUUUAAUUUUGAAUUUAAUUUAAAGAAUUCGGCAAAAUUAUUUUUCACCUGUUUAAUAAAAACAUGUCUUUUUGAUAAUAAUUUAAAGUCUAACCUGCCCAAUGAAAAUUUGAAUGGCUGCGAUAUUUUGAUCGUACUAAGGUAGCAUAAUCAUUAGUUUCUUAAUUAGAAGCUGGAAUGAAUGGUUGAAUGAGAAAAUAACUGUUUCAAAUUUAUUUAUAGAAUUUUAUUUUUAAGUUAAAAAGCUUAAAUAUUUUUAAAAGACGAGAAGACCCUAUAGAGUUUUAUAUUAAAAUAUUAUAAUUUAUUAAGAUUUAUUUAUUUUUUAUUAUUAUUAAUAUUUAAUUGGGGUGAUUAAAAAAUUUAAAUAACUUUUUUUUUAUUUUAACAUUAAUUUAUGAAUUUUUGAUCCAAUAUUUUUGAUUAUAAGAUUAAAUUACCUUAGGGAUAACAGCGUAAUUUUUCUUUAGAGUUCUUAUCGAAAGAAAAGUUUGCGACCUCGAUGUUGGAUUAAAAUUAAUAUUUGGCGUAAAAGUUAAAUUAUUAAGUCUGUUCGACUUUUAAAAUUUUACAUGAUCUGAGUUUAGACCGGUGUGAGCCAGGUCGGUUUCUAUCUUUAAUAAUUAUAUAAAUUUUAGUACGAAAGGACCAAAUUUAUAAUUUAUAAUUUGUUUAUUUGAAUAAAAUUGUUAUUUUGGCAGAAUAGUGCAAUAGAUUUAGAAUCUUUAUAUGUAAUU